ACUUAAUCAACCAAUGUGUAUUUCAUAUGUAAUAAAGUUUUUAUUAAUUCCGUCUCUUUGGUAUUUUAACCAAUUAUGGUAUUCGUUAUCGAAUUCGAAUGAACAAUUGAAUUUGUGUUAUGCCCAUUUACGUUAAAUUAGGUAUUUAUUUACCACUUAAUUGAUUUAACACGUAAUAAUUAUGUGUCUUCAUCAAAGGUUAAAGACUAUCAUUUUGUUUUAAUUCUUAUUCUUUCGUUAUUUUAACUGGUAUAGAAUUCGAGAUAAUUCAGUUGAUUCUAUAUACCAUGUUCAAUGUUGUGCUUCACCAAGUACACCUUAUAUACGAGCACGUUAUCAUGGAACUUUAUUUCCGAUCGACUCCGGAUAUUUUAGGUCGUGUUCCAUCUUAAACCGAAUUUGAAUACCCCCUCCCCAUGUUUUAGCUUAUUCAUUGAAUAGCAAUCAUGAAUCGGCACAUUCAUAUGUAACAAACAAAUAACGGAUUUCCGAAUGACGUCACAGAGCAAUUGCGCAAUGAUAGAAAGCAGUUGGUAAAGUUAGAACAGAAACUCAUUUUACACCAAACUAAAAUACCCACAAAAUUUUAUCAACGUUUUACAUUGUAUUUUUUCGGUGUCCGAAACACAACAAAGAAAAUCAAAGCAAUUAAAAUUCGCCAGUGCUUCCUUUUGUAUUUUAUUAUCCGAUACAAAUGUAGUUAAAUGCAUUCGCCGACUUUACGCUAAAGCCACCUUGGGCUUAAACAAACGCAACCUAAGACGCGUGAGCUACACCAGUAAUUCAAUGGCGAAUGUCUAAGUGACCAUCAGUUCCACACCUGCUUUUUACGACCAGAGACACGGUUUCAUUUCGCCAGGUGCGAGCCUUAAACUUCCUUUUGUGCUGCGAUUGUUACGUCUCAAUAAUCUAUUGUUUCGUAACAAUUGUAAGUCCAUUGAUAUUUGUUCGGGUUAAUAUGACGUCACAAGCGAUCUAUUUUUACGGCACAAUAGCAAGAUGAUUUUUCGAUCAAAUAAUCAGCAAACGCGAAAUUCCCGCUUUUCGUUGAUUACUGAUAAAUUUUCGCACCAAACACGCAGCAUUGGGAACCACAGACGAACUCCCACGCUGUAGGUUUCGCCAGCUUAGAUUAUGUUGCAACACCAACGUUUCAAGGCGUGAGUUUAGCGACAAACUUAGGGGUCAAGAAGUUUACUCAAGUUGAGUGGAGAACCAUCUUUAAACCAGGUUUGAUUCCUACUUUGAUACGCUGCCUAGUAAACAUGUUAUUUACCUAUUAGAUGCCACUUGUCGGUGUACAAAGAGGUUUUAUAUUCACACAAGUAAAAUGUUACUCUCCCAUAAGGUUUAUACGAGCUACAUGCAAUCGUAUCAAACUGUCGAGUGCGCAUGCGGUAUCCGAUGACACCUUACACCACAGUCCCAUGAGACAGAUCUGUCGAUGCGAGCUUGUGUGGCAACCGUCAUCAACAAAGUUACAACUUCAAACAACCUACGUUUCCGUCACGUGGUCUGUCCGUCAUGCCUGACUGCACAACACAAUGUCGCUUCUUCCGACAAACUUUUUGAAGUCGAUUCUCAAACGGAUAUGAUUUCAUAAACGAUGAGAACGCGUUGAUACUAGAACGUAUCGAUCUCAAACAAUUCUGUUCUAUAUGGGUGAGGUUCAAUACCCGCAAGGAAACAUACGACGAAGGUUAGAAAUUGAUCCAUUAUCCCUAUAGUUAUUAAUUUUCGUUAGCGU
Molecule: non-coding RNA, 1747 nt
Organism: Ciona intestinalis (vase tunicate)
Lineage: Eukaryota; Metazoa; Chordata; Ascidiacea; Phlebobranchia; Cionidae
Source: RefSeq, a predicted model, not a curated record